Molecule: ribosomal RNA, 497 nt
Filed under: uncultured bacterium
Lineage: Bacteria
Description: partial 16S ribosomal RNA
Rfam family: Bacterial small subunit ribosomal RNA
Source: RNAcentral
GAUGAACGCUGGCGGCGUGCCUAAUACAUGCAAGUCGAGCGAACAGAUGAGGAUCUUGCUCCUCUGACGUUAGCGGCGGACGGGUGAGUAACACGUGGAUAACCUACCUAUAAGACUGGUAUAACUUCGGGAAACCGGAGCUAAUACCGGAUAAUAUAUUGAACCGCAUGGUUCAAUAGUGAAAUACGGUUUUGCUGUCACUUAUAGAUGGAUCCGCGCCGCAUUAGCUAGUUGGUAAGGUAACGGCUUACCAAGGCAACGAUGCGUAGCCGACAUGAGAGGGUGAUCGGCCACCCUGGAACUGAGACACGGUCCAGACUCCUACGGGAGGCAGCAGUAGGGAAUCUUGCGCAAUGGGCGAAAGCUUGACGGAGCAACGCCGCGUGAGUGAUGAAGGUCUUCGGAUCGUAAAACUCUGUUAUUAGGGAAGAACAAAUGUGUAAGUACCUAUGAACGUCUUGACGGUACCUAAUCAGAAAGCCACGGCUAACUACGUG